GCCGGUGUAGCUCAACGGGUAGAGCAACCGCCUUGUAAGCGGUAGGUUGUGGGUUCGAGUCCUUCCACCGGCACCA
RNAcentral lists this transfer RNA (76 nucleotides) under Rhodospirillales bacterium. RNAcentral describes it as "tRNA-Thr". It matches the Rfam family "tRNA". From Rfam's summary of the family: Transfer RNA (tRNA) molecules are approximately 80 nucleotides in length. Their secondary structure includes four short double-helical elements and three loops (D, anti-codon, and T loops). The record is from RNAcentral. Lineage: Bacteria; Pseudomonadati; Pseudomonadota; Alphaproteobacteria; Rhodospirillales.